Molecule: transfer RNA, 74 nt
Filed under: Gigantopelta aegis
Lineage: Eukaryota; Metazoa; Mollusca; Gastropoda; Neomphalida; Peltospiridae
Description: tRNA-Ile
Rfam family: tRNA
About the family: Transfer RNA (tRNA) molecules are approximately 80 nucleotides in length.
Source: RNAcentral
GACCUGUUAGCUCAGUUGGUUAGAGCGUCGUGCUAAUAACGCGAAUGUCGUGGGUUCGUCCCCCACAUGGCCCA